This 492-nucleotide ribosomal RNA is filed under the name uncultured bacterium. RNAcentral's name for it is "partial 16S ribosomal RNA". It matches the Rfam family "Bacterial small subunit ribosomal RNA", at positions 29 to 507 of the family's 1533-position model. The record is from RNAcentral.
AGUGAACGCUGGCGGUAGGCCUAACACAUGCAAGUCGAACGGCAGCACAGUAAGAGCUUGCUCUUACGGGUGGCGAGUGGCGGACGGGUGAGGAAUACAUCGGAAUCUACUUUUUCGUGGGGGAUAACGUAGGGAAACUUACGCUAAUACCGCAUACGACCUACGGGUGAAAGCAGGGGAUCUUCGGACCUUGCGCGAUUGAAUGAGCCGAUGUCGGAUUAGCUAGUUGGCGUGGUAAAGGCCCACCAAGGCGACGAUCCGUAGCUGGUCUGAGAGGAUGAUCAGCCAAACUGGAAAUGAGACAAGGUCCAGAAUCCUAAGGGAGGCAAGAGUGGGGAAUAUUGGACAAUGGGCGCAAGCCUGAUCCAGCCAUACCGCGUGGGGGAAGAAGGCCUUCGGGUUGUAAAGCCCUUUUGAUGGGAAAGAAAAGCAGCAGGUUAAUACCCCGCUGGUCUGAAGGUACCCAAAGAAUAAGCACAGGCUAACUUCGUG